Molecule: long non-coding RNA, 314 nt
Organism: Cavia porcellus (domestic guinea pig)
Lineage: Eukaryota; Metazoa; Chordata; Mammalia; Rodentia; Caviidae
Exons: 3
Source: RefSeq, a predicted model, not a curated record
CAGAACACUAACAUAUCCUCUCUUCUCAUCUGUGUUGCAUGUGCAGACAAGUAAGAACAAAUGAGGUCAACGGUGAUGAAAAGCCAAAGUUUCCCUUCCUUCUCCCCCAAGCAACCAUGGAUAGGCUUUGGCUGACUCCAGAUUGGUCUGCACUGUCUAUUGAUGGACUCACAAUAUGCUUGGAUUGAUGGUGUCAGUUCUCCACCCACAAAGGGGUGGAGCCAGGAUGUGAUAAUAGGAAGAAGGUGUGUCUUGCACUUUGCUGGUUCCUGCUUGCUGUUUGCAGCCGCCAUGAACUGUGGCCCAGCCAUGCC